RNAcentral lists this ribosomal RNA (257 nucleotides) under uncultured bacterium. RNAcentral's name for it is "partial 16S ribosomal RNA". It matches the Rfam family "Bacterial small subunit ribosomal RNA", at positions 524 to 776 of the family's 1533-position model. The record is from RNAcentral.
CACGUAGGGUGCGAGCGUUGUCCGGAAUUAUUGGGAGUAAAGAGCUCGUAGGCGGUGUGUCGCGUCGGCCGUGAAAACCUGCAGCUUAACUGUGGGCUUGCGGUCGAUACGGGCAUCACUGGAGUUCGGCAGGAGAGGGAAGUGGAAUUCCCGGUGUAGUGGUGAAAUGCGUAGAUAUCGGGAGGAACACCAGUGGCGAAGGCGGCGAUCUGGGAAGAUACUGACGCUGAGGUGCGAAAGCGUGGGGAGCAAACAGG